Molecule: non-coding RNA, 789 nt
Organism: Podarcis muralis (Common wall lizard)
Lineage: Eukaryota; Metazoa; Chordata; Lepidosauria; Squamata; Lacertidae
Source: RefSeq, a predicted model, not a curated record
CCGGAGCUCGGUUGGUGAUUGGCGGAGAACGCUUGGGAACGACAGCGGACGGCCGCUAGGGGCGCCAGUGUCAAGGGAAGAGCCCGCGCUCUGCUCUCCCACUGUGGAGCUCAGAUUUAUGUGGGGACCGGGAGAAAGGUUGUUCCGCAGGUCCAACGUCCAUUUCUAGAUUGUGGUGAUUAACUGCAAGAACACAUCAAUAAACACCAGGAUGAAGCAGAAUAACAAGGCAGAUAUUAUCCAACUCUCAAAUGGAAGCCAAAUGUAGCAGAACAUAUAAGACAUGGAAGAAAUACAUAGUGCUGUGAGUACAGAAAAGUAAAGGAAGGUGGCCAGUUUUCCAGUCUUCAAGUGGAAGCAAGUCUUGGACCUUUUCUAGUCUCUCCAACGCAAGUUUCACCAAUGGAAAAGAGGAGACUGUCCUGCUGUCUGUUGUCCAGGGAGGUCUUCUUCAAAGCCUUGUCUUCAUUUGACACAACUGGAACUAAUGUCACAUUACUCACUUACUUACAAUUUUUCCAUCUCCCAUGCUUGCAAAAAUUGAUAAAUGACCUCAUGGUACUCUUUCAUUAUUUCUUUGACUACAUACUAUAGCUGCUACAUGAAUGGUGUGGUACUUGCAUAAAAUGGCCUUGUAAGUUUUUGGGUGAAUGUGGAAGAAAGCCAUAAACUUUAACCUAUUUUACUAAUACCACAAGUUGUCUGGCUUGAAUAUACUCAUCAUUGUUCCCUUGACCUUUCCUCCAUAUACGAAGUACUUCCUCUUAGGUUUCUUCCAAAUUCUGUAAA